AAGUCUCUUCGGAGAUGAGUACAGCGGCGAACGGGUGAGUAACACGUAAGAAUCUACCCUUCAGUGAGGAAUACCCUCGAGAAAUCGAGGUUAAUACUGCAUACGUCCCUUCGGGGAGAAAGAUGGCCUCUUUGCUAUCGCUGAGGGAGGAGCUUGCGCACUAUUAGCUAGUUGGUGGGGUAAAGGCCUACCAAGGCAAUGAUGGUUAGCCGGCCUGAGAGGGUGUUCGGCCACACUGGAACUUAGACACGGUCCAGACUCCUACGGGAGGCAGCAGUGAGGAAUCUUGCACAAUGGGCGAAAGCCUGAUGCAGCGACGCCGCGUGGAGGAUGAAGGUUUUCGGAUCGUAAACUCCUGUUAAGUGGGAAGAAAUGUCUGUUCCUAAUAUGAGCAGAUUAUGACGGUACCAUUAGAGAAAGCACCGGCUAACUUCAUGCCAGCAGCCGCGGUAAUACGAGGGGUGCAAGCGUUAUUCGGAAUCAUUGGGCGUACAGGGCGCGUAGACGGCAUAUUAAGUCAACUGUUCAAUUCCCCGGCCUAACCUGGGGGCCAGCGGUAGAUACUGAUGUGCUAGAGGAUGGAAGAGAUAAGUGGAAUUCUCGGAGUAGCGGUAAAAUGCGUAGAUCUCUAGAGGAACACCGAUGGCAAAGCCAGCUUCUUGGUCCAUACCUGACGUUGAGGC
RNAcentral lists this ribosomal RNA (683 nucleotides) under uncultured bacterium. RNAcentral describes it as "bacterial SSU rRNA". It matches the Rfam family "Bacterial small subunit ribosomal RNA", at positions 72 to 752 of the family's 1533-position model. The record is from RNAcentral.